This 85-nucleotide transfer RNA is filed under the name Felis catus (domestic cat). It matches the Rfam family "tRNA". From Rfam's summary of the family: Transfer RNA (tRNA) molecules are approximately 80 nucleotides in length. Their secondary structure includes four short double-helical elements and three loops (D, anti-codon, and T loops). Further hydrogen bonds mediate the characteristic L-shaped molecular structure. tRNAs have two regions of fundamental functional importance: the anti-codon, which is responsible for specific mRNA codon recognition, and the 3' end, to which the tRNAs corresponding amino acid is attached (by aminoacyl-tRNA synthetases). tRNAs cope with the degeneracy of the genetic code in two manners: having more than one tRNA (with a specific anti-codon) for a particular amino acid; and 'wobble' base-pairing, i.e. permitting non-standard base-pairing at the 3rd anti-codon position. The record is from Rfam by way of RNAcentral. Lineage: Eukaryota; Metazoa; Chordata; Mammalia; Carnivora; Felidae.
GCCUGGGUGGCUCAGUUGGUUGAGCAUCUGACUUCGGCUCAGGUCAUGAUCUCAUGGUCCGUGAGUUCAAGCCCCACAUCGGGCU